AGAGAGAGAGAGAGAGAGAGAGAUCCCUCUGUUUUCAGCUCCUCUAUAGUUUGGCUAACGAGCCCCGUCCUUAUGAGAGGACUGCUGGAUCCUAACAUGUUUCCUAUCAUCUUUACGUCUUUUAUCUUCUUCAAUUUUCAUCAAGGUAUUUCGUUGAGAGAUUCCUAGGUGUCUUCGUUCUUCCUGGUGUUGUCUUGAUGAACGGAGCUGACAGUCACCAUCUUCAUGAGCUUGUGACUUGCAGAACAAGCAAUGUUUUCUAGCUUUUCAUAUUUGAG
Molecule: long non-coding RNA, 278 nt
Filed under: Brassica rapa (field mustard)
Lineage: Eukaryota; Viridiplantae; Streptophyta; Magnoliopsida; Brassicales; Brassicaceae
Description: long non-coding RNA (BRAP_LNC004019)
Source: RNAcentral